UGUCCCUUGGGAAGGAAGAACUGAUACCUUGAUAUCACGGUUUGUACAUCCUAUAUAUACGACAAAUUUUAGAACAUUAUAUAACGAAGAACCAGAUCGUCGUGGCCAUGUGAUGUGAAUAAAAGGACUUGAAUUUGAUGAUAUUUUUAUAAUGUUAGAUAACAUAACUAAGUAUCUUCACAGUAAGAUAGGAUGACAUGGUUUACAUGAUCUUAAUGUUGUUCACUCGAGUGAUGAUAUUAUAAGGAAAAGUGUAAUAUCACAGGAUAUUUAUGUUUAGUAACCAGUAAUUCAGAGAUUGGUAUUCAUGGUUACUAUAACGAGGCUGUAGAAACGCACCCUUUCUUCUUUGCAAAUGGUCCUGUAUUUAUGUCUAAACCGAAACUGGAACCUCUGAAUAAUUUAGAUUUAUUCUUGUUAUUUUCUAAAAUACUUAUCUACAGUAUACCAUAAGGAAUGAUACCGUAUCGCACCUAAUCAAGUGCCUUAAGAAACAUCAACAGGAUAUCACAGUAAUCCCUUAUCGACUGAUAUUUGUAGCCACUACAAUAUCUAUGACACUGGUAGUAAUUAUAAGAACAAUAAUGAUGUUCUAUAAGAGGAAAUGAUGAUUAGGAACAAAAACUUACAGGAGAUAUCAUGCGGUGGAUGGAUAAUAUGUAAAAAAUAUUAAGCAGUAUAUGAAUUUUCAUAUUGCGUAGAGAUAACAAAAUGAAUUUUAAAAAAUGUCGACAUGGUAAUAAGAAAUAGCAUGAUGACAAAGAAUAUAUAAACACAGUUUCAUUUUUUAUAAAUAAAAAUUUGUUGUUCCAGAUUUUGAAAUAUAGUGAAACGUUUAAUUAGUAUCUUAAUAUCUUUAAAUAAUUAUUAUUUUAGAAUCAAUUGUAAUUGUAUCAUACGUACUUUUGAAUUCGUGCAAGAACAUAUGUUAUUUUGAAGUAGUUAUUAUUAGGAAAUUGUUAGACGCGAACAGUAUGCGAAA
This is a long non-coding RNA of Bombus huntii, 982 nucleotides long. RefSeq lists it as uncharacterized. Lineage: Eukaryota; Metazoa; Arthropoda; Insecta; Hymenoptera; Apidae. The transcript has 4 exons. The record is from RefSeq and is a predicted model, not a curated record.